Molecule: long non-coding RNA, 241 nt
Filed under: Phasianus colchicus (ring-necked pheasant)
Lineage: Eukaryota; Metazoa; Chordata; Aves; Galliformes; Phasianidae
Description: lncRNA (ENSPCLG00000011414.1)
Source: RNAcentral
GGAGAGAAACGGGGAGGAGGAGUUGGUUUGCAGUAGUUUAACUGUCAUUAAACAAGUAAGAAUGAUGAAAUCACGUCUAUUAAAUCUGGACUGACUGUAACAACCAGCUUUUCUCCAAGAUUUAAUGUAACCCAAGUGCUGUCCAAGGCACACCAGUUAAGGGAUCAAAGGUGUGAAGGCUGGUGAACAGGAGGAGGCAAGGAGAAGAAGGAUGUCAGAGGAGAAAAAGUAGAAACCAAUU